GGAAAAGUCGUAACAAGGUCUCCGUAGGUGAACCUGCGGAGGGAUCAUUACAGAGUUCAUGCCCUUCCGGGUAGAUCUCCCACCCUGUGUUAUCGUCACCUUUGUUGCUUUGGCGGGCCGCCCAGGCCUCGGCCCGGCUACCGGCUCCGGCUGGUACGCGCCCGCCAGAGGACCCUAAACUCUUGAAUAUCAGUGUCGUCUGAGUACUAUGUAAUAGUUAAAACUUUCAACAACGAAUCUCUUGGUUCUG
Molecule: unclassified non-coding RNA, 250 nt
Filed under: plant metagenome
Description: partial contains small subunit ribosomal RNA, internal transcribed spacer 1, and 5.8S ribosomal RNA
Rfam family: Eukaryotic small subunit ribosomal RNA (bases 1-50)
Source: RNAcentral